CCUACGGGAGGCAGCAGUGGGGAAUAUUGGACAAUGGGGGCAACCCUGAUCCAGCCAUGCCGCGUGUGUGAAGAAGGCCCUCGGGUUGUAAAGCACUUUCAGUGAGGAAGAACGCCUGGUGGUUAAUACCCAUCAGGAAAGACAUCACUCACAGAAGAAGCACCGGCUAACUCCGUGCCAGCAGCCGCGGUAAUAUGGAGGGUGCGAGCGUUAAUCGGAAUUACUGGGCGUAAAGCGCGCGUAGGUGGCUUGAUAAGCCGGUUGUGAAAGCCCCGGGCUCAACCUGGGAACGGCAUCCGGAACUGUCAAGCUAGAGUGCAGGAGAGGAAGGUAGAAUUCCCGGUGUAGCGGUGAAAUGCGUAGAGAUCGGGAGGAAUACCAGUGGCGAAGGCGGCCUUCUGGACUGACACUGACACUGAGGUGCGAAAGCGUGGGUAGCAAACAGGAUUAGAUACCCCAGUAGUC
Molecule: ribosomal RNA, 465 nt
Filed under: Vreelandella stevensii
Lineage: Bacteria; Pseudomonadati; Pseudomonadota; Gammaproteobacteria; Oceanospirillales; Halomonadaceae
Description: partial 16S ribosomal RNA
Rfam family: Bacterial small subunit ribosomal RNA
Source: RNAcentral